UUCAACACCAGUUCAUGCUAGUGACUGUUAGCAAAUGUAUUAGAAUUUCCAUAUUGUAAAAAAAAAUUUUUUUAAGAUUUUUUAUUUAUUUAUUCAUGAGAGACAGAGAGAGAGAGAGAGAGAGGCAGAGACCCAGGCAGAGGGAGAAGCAGGCUCCAUGCAGGGAGCCCGACGUGGGACUCGAUCCCGGAUUUCUAGGAUCACGCCCCAGGCCGAAGGCAGCACUAAACCGCUGGACCACCCAGGGAUCCCCCUCCAUAUUGUGAAAUUACCAGCACACAUACAUAAGUGUGAAAUGUUAAAACAUUCCCACUAAAGUCAGAACAGGACAUGGCAGUGUGGUAAAUUUCUAGUGUUCAAACCCAGACUGGUUUGCAUAGCCAGCAUAUAGCCAUACAUAGGAGUAAGAAAAUGAAAUUUACAGUUUAUGAAAAGAGAUAUUGAGAUUCCCUAAUAGAGAACUCGAAAGAAAUUGGCUGUAAAAUAUUCAAAUGUAUAAGGAACUUCAGGAUACUGAUGUAGAUCACUACCGCAAAAUCAGAAGUCUAGCCACACAAAAUAAAUAACAAUAUAUCAUAGAAAAUAUACCAUUCAAACAGUAGCAUCAUCAAAAAUAUACUGAAGAAAGAGAACUAAGAAGUAUGUACAUGGCCUUUAUGGAAGCAAAUAUAAAUAACAGACUUAGGUAAAGGAAGUCUCAAAUAGCAAAAUACCAUGUUUAUUUACCAUGAGUGGAAUCUUGUACACAUGUCAAUUCUCCUUAAAUUAUUUACAGAUUUCUACCUUACCUGAUGUAUUUGGCUUCACGUCAGCAGAAGAGAAGUAGCCCAGCACCAACAAGACAUCAAGGGAGCCCCAGAGCUUGUUGGGAGAGGUAUAAAGGUGUGGUCUUAUGCCAGCGAAGGGAGGAGUCCUGGGACUGGACAGAUGUCAAGGUGAGUAACUUGUUGGAACUGCAGAGGUGCACUCCUUUCAGAGCUGGGGUGGGGGCAGCCCUGGUGGCUCAGCGGUCUAGUGCCAUCUUCGGCUCAAGGCGUGAUCCUGGAGUCCUGGGAUCGAAUCCCACGUCGCGCUCCCUGCAUGGUGCCUGCUUCUCCCUCUGCCUGUGUCUCUGCCUCUCUCUUUCUCAGUCUCUCAUGAAUAAAUAAAAAAUUAAAAAAAAAAAAAGACUCAUUUGAAAGAACUGGGGUGACCCAAAGAGCCCUGCCCUAUUCCGGCGUGCCUCACCCCCACUGCCCUGAACUCGUGGCUCUAGCGUGGCUUUUAGGCCUGACACCCUCACUUGCGCUUCGGGAUUUGCUGAGUGGCAGGCCUUUGUCCAAAGGGGCAGCCUCAAGUCAGCAGAGGGAGGUUUCAAGGAGUCAAUAAAUUUCUGAGUUAGAACUGGGGUGACAACCACCCCCAAAAGGGAAGAGGUUCAUGGAGUCCUGCCCACCCCUGCUUUGUGGGUUCCUAAGACAGUACCCUUAAGGGGAUAAACAGAGACACCUUUUCUUGGAGCUUGGGUAGAACAUCCUUAGCGAGGCUUUGCAUACCAUCUCUUCAUAUUCCAGGGUGACCUCUUCAUCAAGCUAACUGCUUGCACACCCGCCUGC
RNAcentral lists this long non-coding RNA (1595 nucleotides) under Canis lupus familiaris (dog). RNAcentral's name for it is "lncRNA (ENSCAFG00040011142.1)". Lineage: Eukaryota; Metazoa; Chordata; Mammalia; Carnivora; Canidae. The record is from RNAcentral.